UGAAAAUAUAAUAAUAAAAAUUAAGGUAGUAAUAGUUAUGAACUUGAAACUUAAAAAAUUUGGCGGUAUUUUAGUCUAUUCAGAGGAAUUUGUUUUAUAAUCGAUAAUCCACGAUGGACCUUACUUAAAUUAGUUAUCAGUUUAUAUACCGUUGUUAUAAAAAAAUUUUAAUAGAAUAUUAAUUUUUAUAAUUUUUAAAAAAAAAUUAUAUCAGAUCAAGGUGUAGCUUAUAUUUAAGUAAAAAUGAAUUACAAUAAAUUUAUUUAAAUGGAUAUAAAUUUGUAAUAUUUAUUGAAGGUGGAUUUGAUAGUAAAAUUAUAUAGACUAAUAAUUUGAUUUUAGCUCUAAAAUAUGC
RNAcentral lists this ribosomal RNA (355 nucleotides) under Dinera grisescens. Its description in RNAcentral is "partial 12S ribosomal RNA". The record is from RNAcentral. Lineage: Eukaryota; Metazoa; Arthropoda; Insecta; Diptera; Tachinidae.